RNAcentral lists this ribosomal RNA (305 nucleotides) under uncultured bacterium. RNAcentral describes it as "bacterial SSU rRNA". It matches the Rfam family "Bacterial small subunit ribosomal RNA", at positions 334 to 637 of the family's 1533-position model. The record is from RNAcentral.
CUCUCCUACGGGAGGCAGCAGUGAGGAAUAUUGGUCAAUGGUCGGGAGACUGAACCAGCCAAGCCGCGUGAGGGAGGAAGGUACAGAGUAUCGUAAACCUCUUUUGUCAGGGAACAAAGGCGGGGACGUGUCCCCGGAUGAGUGUACCUGAAGAAAAAGCAUCGGCUAACUCCGUGCCAGCAGCCGCGGUAAUACGGAGGAUGCGAGCGUUAUCCGGAUUUAUUGGGUUUAAAGGGUGCGUAGGCGGGCUGUUAAGUCAGCGGUAAAAGCCCGGGGCUCAACCCCGGCGAGCCGUUGAAACUGGC